AGAGUUUGAUCCUGGCUCAGAACGUACGCUGGCGGCACGCCUAACACAUGCAAGUCGAACGAAGUAGCAAUACUUAGUGGCAGACGGGUGAGUAACAUGUAGGUAUCUGCCCUUUGGCCUGGAAUAACACGAGGAAACUUGUGCUAAUACCGGAUAAGUCUUUACAGAGAAAGCUUUAUGCACCAUUGGAUGAGCCUGCACUUGAUUAGUUUGUUGGUGGGGUAAUGGCCUACCAAGACUGUGAUCAAUAGCUGAUUUGAGAGGAUGAUCAGCCACAUUGGGACUGAGACACGGCCCAAACUCCUACGGGAGGCAGCAGUGGGGAAUCUUGCACAAUGGAGGAAACUCUGAUGCAGCGAUGCCGCGUGAGUGAAGAAGGCCUUUGGGUUGUAAAGCUCUUUCGUCGGGGAAGAAAAUGACUGUACCCGAAUAAGAAGGUCCGGCUAACUUCGUGCCAGCAGCCGCGGUAAUACGAAGGGACCUAGCGUAGUUCGGAAUUACUGGGCUUAAAGAGUUCGUAGGUGGUUGAAAAAGUUGGUGGUGAAAUCCCAGAGCUUAACUCUGGAACUGCCAUCAAAACUUUUCAGCUAGAGUAUGAUAGAGGAAAGCAGAAUUUCUAGUGUAGAGGUGAAAUUCGUAGAUAUUAGAAAGAAUACCAAUUGCGAAGGCAGCUUUCUGGAUCAUUACUGACACUGAGGAACGAAAGCAUGGGUAGCGAAGAGGAUUAGAUACCCUCGUAGUCCAUGCCGUAAACGAUGUGUGUUAGACGUUGGAAAUUUAUUUUCAGUGUCGCAGCGAAAGCGAUAAACACACCGCCUGGGGAGUACGACCGCAAGGUUAAAACUCAAAUGAAUUGACGGGGANC
Molecule: ribosomal RNA, 865 nt
Filed under: uncultured marine microorganism
Description: bacterial SSU rRNA
Rfam family: Bacterial small subunit ribosomal RNA
Source: RNAcentral